CCUACGGGUGGCAGCAGUGAGGAAUCUUGGUCAAUGGCCGGAAGGCUGAACCAGCCAUGCCGCGUGAAGGUCAGUGCCCUAUGGGCUUUAAACUUCUUUUGUUCGGGAGUAAUAAUGGGCACGUGUUGCCAGACGAGAGUACCGUACGAAUAAGCAUCGGCUAACUCCGUGCCAGCAGCCGCGGUAAUACGUGGGAUGCAAGCUUUAUCCGGAUUUAGUGGGUUUAAAGGGUGCGCAGUCGGCCUGUUACGUCAGCGGUAAAAGCCCGGGGCUAAACCCUGGCGAGCCGUUGAAACUGGCGGGCUGGAGUUGUAGAGAGGUACGCGGAAGGCGCGGUGUAGCGGUGAAAUGCUUAGAUAUCGCGCAGAACCCAGAGUGCGAAGGCAGCGUACCGGCUCCACACUGACGCUGAGGCACGAAAGCGUGGGUAUCGAACAGGAUUAGAUACCCGAGUAGUC
This 458-nucleotide ribosomal RNA is filed under the name uncultured bacterium. RNAcentral describes it as "partial 16S ribosomal RNA". It matches the Rfam family "Bacterial small subunit ribosomal RNA", at positions 338 to 795 of the family's 1533-position model. The record is from RNAcentral.